Molecule: ribosomal RNA, 515 nt
Filed under: uncultured bacterium
Lineage: Bacteria
Description: partial 16S ribosomal RNA
Rfam family: Bacterial small subunit ribosomal RNA
Source: RNAcentral
GACGAACGCUGGCGGCGUGCCUAAUACAUGCAAGUCGAACGCUUCCUACCGGUGCUUGCACCGGGAAAGAAGAGUGGCGGACGGGUGAGUAACACGUGGGUAACCUACCUACAAGCGGGGGAUAACAUUCGGAAACGGCUGCUAAUACCGCAUAGAUCUUUUUGUCUCCUGGCAGAAAGAAGAUAGACGGUUUCGGCUGGCACUUGUAGAUGGACUCGCGGCGCAUUAGGUAGUGGGUGAGGUAAUGGCUCACCAAGACGAUGAUGCGUAGCCGACCUGAGAGGGGGAUCGGCCACACUGGGACUGAGACACGGCCCAGACUCCUACGGGAGGCAGCAGUAGGGAAUCUUCCGCAAUGGACGAAAGUCUGACGGAGCAACGCCGCGUGAGUGAAGAAGGUUUUCGGAUCGUAAAACUCUGUUGUUAGAGAAGAACAAGGAUGAGAGUAACUGCUCGUCCCUUGACGGUAUCUAACCAGAAAGCCAUGGCUAACUACGUGCCAGCCGCCGCCGUAA